Molecule: unclassified non-coding RNA, 734 nt
Filed under: Hevea brasiliensis (rubber tree)
Lineage: Eukaryota; Viridiplantae; Streptophyta; Magnoliopsida; Malpighiales; Euphorbiaceae
Source: RNAcentral
CAGAAGCUAAUGCGUAUUGGGAUGCUGAGAAAGGAGAAAUCAUUUUGUGUGAUUCUGUAGACAUAUCAAUUGCAGUUGCUACUGAGAAGGGCCUAAUGACUCCUAUUGUUAGGAAUGCGGACCAGAAGUCCAUUACAUCUAUCUCCUCAGAGGUUAAGCAACUAGCUGAGAAAGCUCGGGCAGGGAAGCUUGCUCCAAAUGAGUUUCAAGGAGGGACGUUCAGCAUUUCGAACCUGGGAAUGUAUCCAGUGGACCAAUUUGCUGCAAUUAUAAAUCCCCCUCAGGCUGGCAUCCUAGCUGUUGGUAGAGGGAAUAAAGUUGUUGAACCAGUACUUGGAAGUGAUGGAACUGAGAGGCCUGCAGUGGUCAACAAAAUGAACUUGACAUUAUCUGCUGAUCAUCGUGUUUUUGAUGGCAAAGUUGGAGGUGCAUUUCUCACAGCUUUGCGUUCCAACUUCAGUGAUAUCAGGAGACUUCUUCUAUGAGGCCCUCAAACUACAAAUGGGUUUCAAAAAAUAAGACUCGACAGAGCACGUUAUGCGAGAGCAGCAGCUAGCUAGGAAAUUUGUUCAAGGGAUAUUUUUCACCAAUACAAUUGUUUGUGAUGUGCCAUUUUUACAAAAUUUUGCCAUUCAUUGAACUCGUCCUGUUAAUAGUUAGAAUUUAGAGCUGAUGUUCAGGUGCUGAUUCAGGCAAGUUUUUUGCCAUAUGUGAAGAUCAUGCAACAGUUUGAG